UACGUAGGGGGCAAGCGUCGUCCGGAUUUAUUGGGCGUAAAGAGCGUGUAGGCGGCCAGGUAGGUCUGCUGUGAAAACUCGAGGCUUAACCUCGAGCUGUCGGUGGAAACCAUCUGGCUAGAGUCCGGAAGAGGAGAGUGGAAUUCCCGGUGUAGCGGUGAAAUGCGCAGAUAUCGGGAAGAACACCCGUGGCUAAGGCGGCUCUCUAGUACGGUACUGACGCUGAGACGCGAAAGCGUGGGGAGCGAACAGG
RNAcentral lists this ribosomal RNA (253 nucleotides) under uncultured bacterium. Its description in RNAcentral is "partial 16S ribosomal RNA". It matches the Rfam family "Bacterial small subunit ribosomal RNA", at positions 524 to 776 of the family's 1533-position model. The record is from RNAcentral.